AUUGAACGCUGGCGGCAUGCCUUACACAUGCAAGUCGAACGGUAACGGGCCUUCGGGUGCCGACGAGUGGCGCACGGGUGAGUAAUACAUCGGAACGUGCCCGAUCGUGGGGGAUAACGAGGCGAAAGCUUUGCUAAUACCCAUACGAUCUACGGAUGAAAGCAGGGGACCGCAAGGCCUUGCGCGGACGGAGCGGCCGAUGGCAGAUUAGGUAGUUGGUGGGAUAAAAGCUUACCAAGCCGACGAUCUGUAGCUGGUCUGAGAGGAUGAUCAGCCACACUGGGACUGAGACACGGCCCAGACUCCUACGGGAGGCAGCAGUGGGGAAUUUUGGACAAUGGGCGCAAGCCUGAUCCAGCCAUGCCGCGUGCAGGAUGAAGGCCUUCGGGUUGUAAACUGCUUUUGUACGGAACGAAAAGCCUUCUUUUAAUACAGGAGGGUCAUGACGGUACCGUAAGAAUAAGCACCGGCUAACUACGUG
Molecule: ribosomal RNA, 481 nt
Filed under: uncultured bacterium
Lineage: Bacteria
Description: partial 16S ribosomal RNA
Rfam family: Bacterial small subunit ribosomal RNA
Source: RNAcentral